GAUGAACGCUGACAGAAUGCUUAACACAUGCAAGUCUUUGGCGAAGCUGUGCUCGCACAGCCUAGCCAAGGCGGACGGGUGAGUAACGCGUAAGGAACUUGCCCUGCAGUCAGGGAUAACAGACGGAAACGACUGAUAAGACCUGGUAAAGUCAGGCGGACUCAUGUCCAGCCUGAUGAAAAGAGAUGCUGCAGGAGAGCCUUGCGUCCUAUUAGCUUGUUGGUGGGGUAACGGCCCACCAAGGCGAUGAUAGGUAGCCGGCCUGGGAGGGUGGACGGCCACAAGGGGACUGAGAUACGGCCCUUACUCCUACGGGAGGCAGCAGUGGGGAAUAUUGGACAAUGGGGGCAACCCUGAUCCAGCAAUUCUGCGUGCACGAUGAAGGUUUUCGGAUUGUAAAGUGCUUUCAGCAGGGAAGAAAAAAAUGACGGUACCUGCAGAAGAAGCGACGGCUAAAUACGUG
This 463-nucleotide ribosomal RNA is filed under the name uncultured bacterium. Its description in RNAcentral is "partial 16S ribosomal RNA". It matches the Rfam family "Bacterial small subunit ribosomal RNA", at positions 28 to 507 of the family's 1533-position model. The record is from RNAcentral.